UAUCCAGGUCACACUGAUGCAAGAGGUGG
Molecule: non-coding RNA, 29 nt
Filed under: Homo sapiens (human)
Lineage: Eukaryota; Metazoa; Chordata; Mammalia; Primates; Hominidae
Source: RNAcentral